This 253-nucleotide ribosomal RNA is filed under the name uncultured bacterium. Its description in RNAcentral is "partial 16S ribosomal RNA". It matches the Rfam family "Bacterial small subunit ribosomal RNA", at positions 524 to 776 of the family's 1533-position model. The record is from RNAcentral.
UACGAAGGGGGCUAGCGUUGCUCGGAAUCAUUGGGCGUAAAGGGCGCGUAGGUGGUUCUGUAUGUCUACCGUGAAAGCGUACGGCUCAACCGUAUUUUGUCGGUAGAAACUGCAGGACUUGAGGCUGGGAGGGGCUGGUGGAAUUCCCUGUGUAGCGGUGAAAUGCGUAGAGAUGGGGGAGAACACUCGUGGCGAAGGCGGCCAGCUAGACCAGUUCUGACACUGAGGCGCGACAGCGUGGGGAGCAAACAGG